This 226-nucleotide ribosomal RNA is filed under the name uncultured eukaryote. Its description in RNAcentral is "partial 18S ribosomal RNA". It matches the Rfam family "Eukaryotic small subunit ribosomal RNA", at positions 1208 to 1456 of the family's 1831-position model. The record is from RNAcentral.
GGGAAACUCACCAGGUCCAGACAUGGGAAGGAUUGACAGACUGAUAGCUCUUUCUUGAUUCUAUGGGUGGUGGUGCAUGGCCGUUCUUAGUUCGUGGACUGAUUUGUCUGGUUGAUUCCGAUAACGAGCGAGAUCUUAACCUGCUAACUAGGUCUUCAGAAUGCGUUCUGAUGUGCCUUCUUAGAGGGACUUUGCAUAUUUAGUGUAAGGAGGUUUGAGGCAAUAA